This 537-nucleotide long non-coding RNA is filed under the name Felis catus (domestic cat). RNAcentral describes it as "lncRNA (ENSFCAG00000048901.1)". Lineage: Eukaryota; Metazoa; Chordata; Mammalia; Carnivora; Felidae. The record is from RNAcentral.
AUAUUUCUGUUCUUUAAGUCACUUAGUCUGUGGUUCUUUGUUAUGGGAGCCUCGUAAACGAACAGGUUAGAGGUUGUCUUGUCCCAUAAGGACUGUCUUUGGUUUACCAGGCUGCCAGAACCCGUUGAGGACAAAGAACCGGUGUGGCCUGAUGCUUCCAGAAGAGGAAGGAGUCCUUCAUCAUUGGGCCUGUGGACCCUGGGGUCUCUAGGAUGCCUUACCGUGGACCACCUUGACCAGUCUGGAAGCUUUCUGCCUCUGCCUCUUCCCCAUUUGUCUUUUGGAGUUGCUCUCUGAACAAGGGGCCUGCUUCCAGCUUCACCCUGCAGGACUCCCCACCGGCGUCAGCACCUCCACACAGGGGACCCCCAAGGCCCACACCCUUGCUCCCCUUCCCCUGGGUCUACCCAGCAGUCAGAUCUCUGCCUUCCUUCUAAAGGAAGCAUCGCUGAACCGCCACCCCCCUCCCCCCCACCACUCCAAAGUAAGGCCUUCUGUUUUGUACACACUGUACCCCUUGUGAAAUACUCCUCAGGC